Molecule: unclassified non-coding RNA, 410 nt
Filed under: Hevea brasiliensis (rubber tree)
Lineage: Eukaryota; Viridiplantae; Streptophyta; Magnoliopsida; Malpighiales; Euphorbiaceae
Source: RNAcentral
AUGGCCAAGUGUGAUCCUCGUCAUGGCAAAUACAUGGCCUGCUGCUUGAUGUACCGUGGUGAUGUUGUGCCCAAGGAUGUGAAUGCUGCAGUUGCCACUAUCAAAACCAAGCGUACCAUUCAGUUUGUUGACUGGUGCCCAACUGGAUUCAAGUGCGGUAUCAACUACCAGCCACCCACUGUUGUUCCUGGUGGUGACCUUGCCAAGGUGCAGAGAGCUGUCUGCAUGAUCUCCAACUCAACCAGUGUUGCUGAGGUGUUCUCAAGAAUUGACCACAAGUUUGACCUAAUGUAUGCCAAGCGUGCUUUUGUGCACUGGUAUGUGGGCGAGGGCAUGGAGGAAGGUGAGUUUUCUGAGGCUCGUGAGGAUCUUGCUGCCCUUGAGAAGGAUUAUGAAGAGGUUGGUGCUGA